Non-coding RNA from Macaca mulatta (Rhesus monkey), 623 nucleotides. The record is from RefSeq and is a predicted model, not a curated record. NCBI's taxonomy places the organism in Eukaryota, Metazoa, Chordata, Mammalia, Primates, Cercopithecidae.
CUUCCUUCUCGCGAGAAUGAAUGCGUCACUUCCGGUAACCGCUGCGAGAACGGCCCUUCCCUACGUUUUCCCAGGGCGCCGCCGGAGCCCUGCCGGCUAAGGGGUGGGGAAACGAACAGAUCCCUGCCAUCUAUCCUCCAACUCCACCACCCGCUGAUCCGGCACGCUAAAGACCACCAAUGAUUUAAAGGCUGCGGAACUGGAAAAAUACUACGCCAGCAGGCCCACUAAUGAAUUAGCCUUACUGUUCACUGACUUCCCAAUACACCUGCUCCAUGAUAUGCCCCGUCAUCCCAAAUGACUCAAUGAUGUGACGCUAUUCCGGAGUGAAGAAUGUUUCUCGGGAUUUCGGGAACUUUUUUCCUAGAUGCCUCACAGAGCUUGCUGUCCAGCAGUCCAGUUAGGGCUCUGCCAGCACAGCAGUUCAUUGUGAGAAGUGUUUCUAAUGGGUGCUGCAGGGCUGCAGAGGCAAGCUUUGGGAAUGCUGUUGGUGCAGCAAGUGCUUCCGGGUGGCGGAUUGACAUAGCAUAGGACAACCAGCUUCUGGUCUUCCAUUUGAGAGGCUCAUACUUUCACUGUACCUGGGGAAUCUCAAUACUCAAGUAAAGGAGUCAGCAUGGAAU